Long non-coding RNA from Mya arenaria, 1920 nucleotides. RefSeq lists it as uncharacterized. Lineage: Eukaryota; Metazoa; Mollusca; Bivalvia; Myida; Myidae. The transcript is spliced from 7 exons. The record is from RefSeq and is a predicted model, not a curated record.
CUUCAAAGGAUAUGGAGUUAGUCUUCCUGAGGGAUCUUCGGCUAUACAAAGACAAUCACUUCAAUGCUUUGGAAACGAAACUAAUGUUUCGGAAUGCACAUCGGAACCAUUCGAAUGUAUACAUCACGACUACAGUACACAUGGGGGAUGUGCGUACAAUAAACAUGGCGUUCUGGGCCUCUACUGUAAUGAUUAUCAUAUUGAGGAUGUACGACUGAAAAUAUAAUGGGCAACGUUUCAUCAAAUAGUAUUUGAGGUGUUUGUCGACGGUGAAUGGGGGAUAACUUCUGCAAGACUUGGAACGAUUGAAGCUCAAAUCAUUUGCAAACACUUCGGAUAUUUAAAUGGUGAAAACACGUUUGAAGGAUCAUUCAAAAAUUACAAAUUCAAAGUAAUUGGAGAUCUGAAAUGCACAGGAAAUGAAUCCUCUCCGUUUGAAUGUGCGUUUAGGCACCGUGGUUACCUGGAUGUGCCUGUAUAUACCUUUACUAUGGUUAAUUGUUCCAGAGAAUGCCACAAAGACAGAAAUGGACUUGGAUGUGACCAAUUCUGCACGUGCAUAUGGGCGAAUACAGAACACUGUGAUGUUAAGUGGGGUGGUAAAUGUACAUGUCUCUCAGGAUGGACAGGGAGACACUGCGAAACAGAUAUCAACGAAUGUCUUACUCAAAACAUCUGUCCUGAUGCUAACACGGAGUGCAGAAACAUCGACGGAGGGUUUACGUGUGACUGCUUAGAAGGAUAUUCUCGAGGCACCAAUCAUACAUGUUUUGCUUGAAGGCCAAGUUCGUCGGCUUCGGAAUAACCAACGGCUCAACGUAUGAAAGAUUUGUACGAGUACAAAGUUAAUCUAGAUUGACAAAUCGCUUAAAACGUUACUCAUCUUAUUAUCCAAUAUUUGACACAGGAAAUUACUAGUUGUUGCAGAAGACGUCAACAUCCGGAAGAAAACUCUACACGGUAACACUGUGGAGACUGGCGGAUAUCUUAAGCCAAAGCUGGAAAUCGUUCUGUAUAAAAACAUUAUGACGAGUGGCGACUUUACUUAUGAUUGAUAUACCCAGCAAAAUUCAAAUUUAGUUUACGACUUGAUUUUGUGAAUAGUUGUAUUACUUCAUGCCGUUUAAGUUAUUUUUUAUUUGAUAUAUAUCUUUAAAGGGUAUUUUCUAUAUUAUUCUAAUAUUUGCUUUUGGAUUUGACCAACAGGAAAAAAAAACCAUGUUGCUCAUGUUAGUUCGAAAUUGACAGUGUGUUAUUUUUUAAUUCUGUGCCGUAAAACCCAUGCUUAUUUGCGUUUUGUGUUUUAAAUUUGGCAUAGAAAUUAAAUGCUUUAUGUAGUUACAUUGUUUGAUACAUCGUGUUUGAAUAUUAUUCGUCGUAAGGUAUGUUUAUGUUUUGGCGAAACCUUUUAGCACAUUAUGUUUUGUAUAUACUUAAUAAUGUCCUCAAACGCAUCCGCUUAUGUUGUCGUCAUUUAAUAAUUCAUGUAAUUCAUAUAAUUCAUUUCCAGUUCGUGGUAAAAGUAUAUACUUUUUAUACGUGCAAACACAUUUUACUGUAGUUUCCAGUUUUGCACUUCAUCUGGUCUUCAUUCAGACAUAUACCUUUGGUUUAAAAGAGUCGUUUAUUUAAGCUCAUUUAUGUACUUGGUCACCCUCAUAAUUUGCUAAAGCUAUUUCUGUGUUUGGGUGGUUUGUGCUAUGUGGUUGAUAAUUAAUCAAGUGUGAGGAUGGGUGCUUCCCGGGUUUAAACCAAAGUUGACUCUUGAUAAAUGACCGUGCCAAGGUGGGACCCUUUUGUCAAAACAAUAUUUAUUUGUGAAGUAUAUCCUUUCAUUGUUAUCUACUGUUUGGUAACGUCAUAUAAUCCUUGUAAACCUGUGCCUAGACUUUAUAACGUAUAUCAUAUCAUGGUUAUUUA